RNAcentral lists this long non-coding RNA (518 nucleotides) under Phoenix dactylifera (date palm). Its description in RNAcentral is "long non-coding RNA (PDAC_LNC022324)". The record is from RNAcentral. Lineage: Eukaryota; Viridiplantae; Streptophyta; Magnoliopsida; Arecales; Arecaceae.
AUAUGAUCAAGUAAUCAUACUUUAGAUCCAAAUUUGAACUAAGCCAAUUCUAGUUUCCCUUGAUAAUUCCAUUAUACAAGUUAAUAUUUAUUCUAAGCUUUGAUAAUUAAAAGAUUCUAGAUUAACUUACUCAGGAGCUUACUCAAUCAUUCCGAAUCUUUUCUUUUAGGCUAAACUUAUUUGGGCCUCUCAUGAAAUCCCACUUGCAUUUCUUAUAUGGUGAUACAAAAUCCACAAUCAACUCAUAGCCUUGAUUAAUAAAUAUUUAACUCACAAAAAUCAAAUAAUCUGGUUCAAAGAUUUACAAGAAAUUCCUCCAAGAUAUAAGCUCUAUGAUUUUACAUUGAGAUCCAUCAAAAUAUCAAUCUUAAUUGUUUCAAGUCUCAAGGGUUAGGGCCAAGUAAAAAUUCUUAAGUCUCAUCCCCAAGUAUAUUUUUCUUCUAUAUACGAGUUCCAUGCAUGAUCCACAUACAGAUUUCAAUAAAUAUUUUCUAGUCCAAACUUUAAACAUUUUUUUU